This 254-nucleotide ribosomal RNA is filed under the name uncultured bacterium. RNAcentral's name for it is "partial 16S ribosomal RNA". It matches the Rfam family "Bacterial small subunit ribosomal RNA", at positions 524 to 776 of the family's 1533-position model. The record is from RNAcentral.
UACGUAGGGGGCGAGCGUUGUCCGAAUUUACUGGGCGUAAAGCGCGCGUAGGCGGUUUCUUAAGUCUGGGGUGAAAGGUUCAACGCUCAACGUGAACAGUGCCUUGGAUACUGGGAGACUUGAGUCUGGGAGGGGGUAGUGGAAUUCCUGGUGUAGCGGUGAAAUGCGUAGAUAUCAGGAGGAACACCGGUGGCGAAGGCGGCUACCUGGCCUAAGACUGACGCUGAGGUGCGAAAGCGUGGGGAGCAAACAGG